RNAcentral lists this unclassified non-coding RNA (336 nucleotides) under soil metagenome. Its description in RNAcentral is "partial contains 5.8S ribosomal RNA, internal transcribed spacer 2, and large subunit ribosomal RNA". The stretch from base 1 to 120 matches the Rfam family "5.8S ribosomal RNA", at positions 35 to 154 of the family's 154-position model. The record is from RNAcentral.
GAUGAAGAACGUAGCGAAAUGCGAUAAGUAGUGUGAAUUGCAGAAUUCAGUGAAUCAUCGAAUCUUUGAACGCACAUUGCGCCCCUUGGUAUUCCAUGGGGCAUGCCUGUUCGAGCGUCAUUUGUACCUUCAAGCUUUGCUUGGUGUUGGGUGUUUGUCUCGCCUCUGCGUGUAGACUCGCCUCAAAACAAUUGGCAGCCGGCGUAUUGAUUUCGGAGCGCAGUACAUCUCGCGCUUUGCACUCAUAACGACGACGUCCAAAAGUACAUUUUUACACUCUUGACCUCGGAUCAGGUAGGGAUACCCGCUGAACUUAAGCAUAUCAAUAAGCGAGGA